Molecule: ribosomal RNA, 1390 nt
Filed under: uncultured bacterium
Lineage: Bacteria
Description: bacterial SSU rRNA
Rfam family: Bacterial small subunit ribosomal RNA
Source: RNAcentral
GAAUUCGCCCUUAGAGUUUGAUCCUGGCUCAGGAUGAACGCUAGCGGCAGGCUUAACACAUGCAAGUCGCGGGGCAGCGUGGGUGUAGCAAUACACCUGACGGCGACCGGCGGAAGGGUGCGUAACGCGUGAGCAACUUGCCCGUAUCUGGGACAUAACCGGUGGAAACGCCGCCUAAUCUCCCAUAACAACAGAGAAGACAUCUUCUUUGUUUGAAAGCUCCGGCGGAUACGGAUGGGCUCGCGUGACAUUAGCUAGUUGGAGUGGUAACGGCACACCAAGGCUACGAUGUCUAGGGGUUCUGAGAGGAAGGUCCCCCACAUUGGAACUGAGACACGGUCCAAACUCCUACGGGAGGCAGCAGUGAGGAAUAUUGCACAAUGGGGGAAACCCUGAUGCAGCGACGCCGCAUGAGUGAAGAAGUAUUUCGGUAUGUAAAGCUCUAUCAGCAGGGAAGAUAAUGACGGUACCUGACUAAGAAGCACCGGCUAAAUACGUGCCAGCAGCCGCGGUAAUACGUAUGGUGCAAGCGUUAUCCGGAUUUACUGGGUGUAAAGGGUGCGUAGGUGGUAUGGCAAGUCGGAAGUGAAAACACGGGGCUCAACCCCGUGACUGCUUUUGAAACUGUCAAACUAGAGUGCAGGAGAGGAAAGCGGAAUUCCUAGUGUAGCGGUGAAAUGCGUUGAUAUCCUAUAGAACACCGGAGGCGAAGGCGGAUUCCUGGAACGGUACUGACGCUGAGGCGCGAAAGUCGGGGGAGCAAACAGGAUAGAAUACACUGGUAGUCCCGACCUUAAACGGGGCACACUCGAGGGGGGAGCGGUUGACGCGCCCGUCUCUUAGCUAACGCGAUAAGUGUGCCGCCUGGGGAGUACGGCCGCAAGGCUAAAACUCAAAGAAAUUGACGGGGGCCCGCACAAGCAGAGGAGCAUGUGGCUUAAUUCGAUGCAACGCGAAGAACCUUACCUGGAUUUGACAUACAGCUGCAAGGGGUAUGAAAGUAUCCCGCCUUCGAGGGUGCUGUACAGGUGCUGCAUGGCUGUCGUCAGUUCGUGCCGUGAGGUGUUUGGUUAAGUCCACCAACGAACGCAACCCCUAUCGCAUGUUGCCAGCGGGUCAAGCCGGGAACUCGUGCGAGACUGCUCGUUUACGCGAGAGGAAGGUGGGGAUGACGUCAAGUCAGUAUGGCCCUUACAUCCAGGGCUGCACACGUGCUACAAUGGCAUAUACAGAGCGACGCGAGACCGCAAGGUGGAGCAAACCGCACAGAGUAUGCCUCAGUUCAGAUUGGGGUCUGCAACCCGACCCCAUGAAGUCGGAUUUGCUAGUAACGGCGUAUCAGCUACGACGCCGUGAAUGCGUUCCCGGGCCUUGCACACAACGCCCGUCA